RNAcentral lists this ribosomal RNA (437 nucleotides) under uncultured bacterium. RNAcentral describes it as "bacterial SSU rRNA". It matches the Rfam family "Bacterial small subunit ribosomal RNA", at positions 355 to 787 of the family's 1533-position model. The record is from RNAcentral.
UGAGGAAUAUUGGUCAAUGGGCGGGAGCCUGAACCAGCCAAGCCGCGUGAGGGAGGAAGGCCCUAUGGGUCGUAAAUCCUCUUUUGUCAGGGAACAAAAGCGAGUAUGUAUACUAGUCUGAGUGUACCUGAAGAAAAACGCAUCGGCUAACUCCGUGCCAGCAGCCGCGGUAAUACGGAGGAUGCGAGCGUUAUCCGGAUUUAUUGGGUUUAAAGGGUGCGUAGGCGGCGGUGCAAGUCAGCGGUAAAAGCCCGGGGCUCAACCCCGGCCGAGCCGUUGAAACUGCAGUGCUAGAGAAGGCGAGAGGUACGCGGAAUGCACAGUGUAGCGGUGAAAUGCUUAGAUAUUGCGCAGAACUCCGAUUGCGAAGGCAGCGUACUGGCGCCUGACUGACGCUGAGGCACGAAAGCGUGGGGAUCGAACAGGAUUAGAUACCC